CCUACGGGCGGCUGCAGUGGGGAAUAUUGCACAAUGGGGGGAACCCUGAUGCAGCGACGCCGCGUGGGUGAGGAAGGACUUCGGUAUGUAAAGCCCUAUCAGCAGGGAAGAAAAUGACGGUACCUGACUAAGAAGCCCCGGCUAACUACGUGCCAGCAGCCGCGGUAAUACGUAGGGGGCAAGCGUUAUCCGGAUUUACUGGGUGUAAAGGGAGCGUAGACGGCGUGCCAAGUCUGAUGUGAAAGGCAGGGGCUUAACCCCGGGACUGCAUUGGAAACUGGCAUGCUGGAGUGCAGGAGGGGUAAGCGGAAUUCCUAGUGUAGCGGUGAAAUGCGUAGAGAUUAGGAGGAACACCGGUGGCGAAGGCGGCUUGCUGGACGGUAACUGACGUUGAGGCUCGAAAGCGUGGGGAGCAAACAGGAUUAGAUACCCGAGUAGUC
RNAcentral lists this ribosomal RNA (440 nucleotides) under uncultured bacterium. Its description in RNAcentral is "partial 16S ribosomal RNA". It matches the Rfam family "Bacterial small subunit ribosomal RNA", at positions 338 to 795 of the family's 1533-position model. The record is from RNAcentral.